GAUGAACGCUGGCGGCGUGCCUAAUACAUGCAAGUCGAGCGAACAGACGAGGAGCUUGCUCCUCUGACGUUAGCGGCGGACGGGUGAGUAACACGUGGAUAACCUACCUAUAAGACUGGGAUAACUUCGGGAAACCGGAGCUAAUACCGGAUAACAUGUUGAACCGCAUGGUUCAACAGUGAAAGACGGUCUUGCUGUCACUUAUAGAUGGAUCCGCGCCGCAUUAGCUAGUUGGUAAGGUAACGGCUUACCAAGGCAACGAUGCGUAGCCGACCUGAGAGGGUGAUCGGCCACACUGGAACUGAGACACGGACCAGACUCCUACGGGAGGCAGCAGUAGGGAAUCUUCCGCAAUGGGCGAAAGCCUGACGGAGCAACGCCGCGUGAGUGAAGAAGGUGUUCGGAUCGUAAAACUCUGUUAUUAGGGAAGAACAAAUGUGUAAGUAACUAUGCACGUCUUGACGGUACCUAAUCAGAAAGCCACGGCUAACUACGUG
This 497-nucleotide ribosomal RNA is filed under the name uncultured bacterium. RNAcentral's name for it is "partial 16S ribosomal RNA". It matches the Rfam family "Bacterial small subunit ribosomal RNA", at positions 28 to 507 of the family's 1533-position model. The record is from RNAcentral.